UGGGGAAUCUUGCGCAAUGGACGAAAGUCUGACGCAGCGACGCCGCGUGGGUGAUGAAGGCCUUCGGGUUGUAAAGCCCUGUGGGGAGGGACGAAUAAGUCUGACCUAAUACGUCAGGUGAUGACGGUACCUCUUUAGCAAGCACCGGCUAACUCUGUGCCAGCAGCCGCGGUAAGACAGAGGGUGCAAACGUUGUUCGGAAUUACUGGGCGUAAAGCGCGUGUAGGCGGUCUCGCAAGUCGGGUGUGAAAGCCCAGGGCUCAACCCUGGAAGUGCAUUCGAUACUGCGAGGCUAGAGUCCCGGAGAGGAUGGUGGAACUCUCGGUGUAGAGGUGAAAUUCGUAGAUAUCGAGAAGAACACCGGUGGCGAAGGCGGCCAUCUGGACGGUGACUGACGCUGAGACGCGAAAGCGUGGGGAGCAAACAG
Molecule: ribosomal RNA, 427 nt
Filed under: uncultured bacterium
Lineage: Bacteria
Description: bacterial SSU rRNA
Rfam family: Bacterial small subunit ribosomal RNA
Source: RNAcentral